UACGGGAGGCAGCAGUGGGGAAUAUUGCACAAUGGGCGAAAGCCUGAUGCAGCUAUGCCGCGUGUAUGAAGAAGGCCUUAGGGUUGUAAAGUACUUUCAUCGGGGAGGAAAAAACAAAACUAAUAAUUUUAUUUCUUGACGUUACCCGAAAAAGAAGCACCGGCUAACUCCGUGCCAGCAGCCGCGGUAAUACGGAGGGUGCUAGCGUUAAUCAGAAUUACUGGGCGUAAAGAGCACGUAGGUGGUUUUUUUAAAGUCAGAUGUGAAUCCCUGGGCUUAACCUAGGAACUGCAUUUUGAAACUGAAAUACUAGAGUAUCGUAGAGGGAGGUAGAAUUCUAGGUGUAGCGGUGAAAUGCGUAGAUAUCUGGAGGAAUACCUGUGGCGAAAGCGGCCUCCUAAACGAAUACUGACACUGAGGUGCGAAAGCGUGGGGAGCAAACAGGGAUUAGAUACCCGU
Molecule: ribosomal RNA, 459 nt
Filed under: uncultured bacterium
Lineage: Bacteria
Description: bacterial SSU rRNA
Rfam family: Bacterial small subunit ribosomal RNA
Source: RNAcentral